GGGUUCCACAGUUCUGUGAUCCUGUGACUUUGUGAUUCCAUGAUUCUGUCAUCAGCCACCUGUGGAUGUGCUGCUCUCUCAGCAGAAAAACAACAGGCCUACAGAGAAGCAGCUAAUAUGUUUUUACAGCUGUAGCUAUUAAAAGACACAUUCACAGCCCAAGCAGGAUCCAGCACGCAGUGAAGCCGACAAAGCCACUGAAUUAAAUGGGCCUUAGACAGCCCAUGAAGCUCUCUGGAGAUAGCAUAUAACUGGAUAUCAGAAGUAAUAUUUAACCAAGCUGAUCACAGAAAAGAAUUACACAUCUCUUCUUUGUGAUGGGCUCACUGAAAGGAAUUAAGAAUGGCAACAGGUGUUCAGAUGAAUUAAGAUCUCAAAGAAAGACUGUGGAGAACUUGCCUCAUGAACUUGUCUCAGAUGCUUAGCAGAACCUUGAGGGCCCAAAGCUAACUGGAAGAGUCAAAACAGCAAAACUAGACCAGCAGCAGACAUUGGAAGGGCUCCACCACCUCAAACCACAAGUCUGUUUCCCUGAGAAUGCCUGAAAUUAGAGGUCUGGGAGUAGGAAUAAGCCCACAGCAAAGGUCUGCUCCCUUCCAGAAGGCUCUCCUCCUGCUCUGGCUGUGCCCAGGCAAAGGCAAUGCUCACACCUGGGCAUUCAUACUGUGAUGUGUCUGUACCAUUUGCCUGGACACCCCAGCCCAGCACAGGACAGCCACAGGCACCAGCAGCCCUGCUAAGGGCAGGUCCCUCCUGGGCAGCCUCUGGCCAGCCCUGCUGUGUUUGGCUGCAUCAGACAUUAAAUCA
Ficedula albicollis (Collared flycatcher) is the source of this 807-nucleotide long non-coding RNA. RefSeq lists it as uncharacterized. NCBI's taxonomy places the organism in Eukaryota, Metazoa, Chordata, Aves, Passeriformes, Muscicapidae. The transcript is spliced from 4 exons. The record is from RefSeq and is a predicted model, not a curated record.